CUACCCCAACACUUUACCUAAUGUGGAUUACAAAGAGUAUAACGUCUUAGUUUCUUGUACUCUAUUCUCUCUUCAGUUUACAGUUGCUGGGUCAGGGUACUGCAUCUCCAUAGAAAAUGUAGAAUCAUCUUACAGAGUCCAUACAGCGAGAGCCCGUAGCCUCUACCAGGGGUUUCCUAAGACAACUGAAGAAAGAAAUGACUGGGCAUGUGGUUGACGCUGCCCUGGAUGUGGAGACAGACUGGUGAGGAACUGGCAAAACUACAGCGUUAAGUUCUCUGACAUGUGGAUGUUGCCUGUAUUUCAAGUCACGCCAGAAUUUAUUAUCACAGUACUAAAGGUUUUCUGAUGACAAAUGAGUCUUGUAAUUCUUUUAUUCAAGUAAUUCAUAUAUAUUUGUUUUUCUUAAAUAAUAUUUAUAAAAUUAUUUUAUUGUAUAUUGAUAUUGUGAUCUGUUUAUGCUAAUACUUUUUCAUAUGUUUGAUUAAAUUGCCUAUGUACUUAUUGUAUUGUCUAGAAGUCUACUUAUCUCGUUGUCAUUCUUAUGCCUUUCUUCUCUUACAUUUUUGCAUCAUUGAGAACCUUCUAACAUAAUCUUGAAUAGAGGAGACAGUGCAAACAGCAAAUUUUAGUUCCUUGGCACUGUAGCCAUAUGAUUCUUGCAGUUCAACUCCUUAGGAAGCACAUAUAGGCUAGCUGUAUUGAUACUUCAUAUGUUGAUUAAAUUUUUUUGUGAACCCAUGGAAAGUAUGUAAUUUAUUUAUUGUCACCUAUGGAACCUAUGGAUUUUUGACUUAGUGUAUGUACCAACAAGGAUAUAUAUGGUAUACCAUUACAUAUAAAUUAUAUAUAAUUUGUAUAUAAACAUAUAAUAAAAUUUAUG
Rattus norvegicus (Norway rat) is the source of this 883-nucleotide non-coding RNA. The record is from RefSeq and is a predicted model, not a curated record. Lineage: Eukaryota; Metazoa; Chordata; Mammalia; Rodentia; Muridae.